RNAcentral lists this transfer RNA (57 nucleotides) under Metriorrhynchus palawanensis. RNAcentral's name for it is "partial tRNA-Ser". Lineage: Eukaryota; Metazoa; Arthropoda; Insecta; Coleoptera; Lycidae. The record is from RNAcentral.
UUAAAGAAAUAUCGAAAAAAAAGCUUCUAACUUUUUAAAAAGCAUUAACUUGUUUAU